GCGGGUGUGGCGGAAUCGGCAGACGCGCUAGAUUCAGGUUCUAGUGGGGGUAACCCCGUGGAGGUUCAAGUCCUCUCAUCCGCA
RNAcentral lists this transfer RNA (84 nucleotides) under Bacillus sp. FJAT-18017. It matches the Rfam family "tRNA". Rfam says of the family: Transfer RNA (tRNA) molecules are approximately 80 nucleotides in length. The record is from Rfam by way of RNAcentral. Lineage: Bacteria; Bacillati; Bacillota; Bacilli; Caryophanales; Bacillaceae.